This is a long non-coding RNA of Dendrobium catenatum, 1091 nucleotides long. RefSeq lists it as uncharacterized. NCBI's taxonomy places the organism in Eukaryota, Viridiplantae, Streptophyta, Magnoliopsida, Asparagales, Orchidaceae. The transcript has 2 exons. The record is from RefSeq and is a predicted model, not a curated record.
AAAAUUAAUUUGUAAGAUGACCUCAAAUAUUAUGGAUAUUUUAUUGCAAGAUAAUUUCAGAUUAUAUUAUUUACAUCAAAUUGUAUUUUUCAUUUUUUUAAUCUAAGCUAUUUGGCUUAGUUUAGUUUUACUUGUAAUUAGAUUAGGUUGUACUCGCCAUUGUAGGAGAGUACUUCGGUUGUAAAGAACUUCUUUGGUUUAAAGAAGUGAGGUUUGCUAAGCGAACAUGGGAUUAGUGAAUUCUAGCCCAAUAGUUAGCUAGCGUGGACGUAGGUCGGAUUGGAAUCUGGGCUGAACCACUUAAAAAUAAUGUGCCUCUUAUUUUCAUUUCUUGCAUUUAUUUUUUUCUUUGUCUUUUUCAUUAGAAAUAUUGUGUGACUACUUACUCUCUUCAUAAUUUCCUUAAAAUCAUUUUAAUUUUCUUUUUUUUAAUAAAAAUUUUAAGAACCCCAAUUCACCUUGUUCAUCAAGCUCUAAUGAAGAUAACGAUGAGGUGGCCACGCUUUCAGGAAGACUUGGAAGCUUACUAAGGAAGAAAAAUAAAAGGUAUAAAAAAUCUAAAAAUUAUAAAUUUCAUACUAAGAAAUUUCCUAUAGGAGAAGGGAUUAUUUAUUUCCAUUGCAAGAAUCCUGGACAUAUAAGAGGAGAUUGUCUAGAUCUUAUUGAUUCAAAGAAGAAAGAGAUGGAUGUAGAGUGACAAGAAAGAAAAGAAAUAUUUCAAGAAGAAGAAGAAGGCUCUAUGGGCUAACCUAGAUUCAGAUGAAUCAAGUUCAUCAGAUGAAGAGGUAAACAUUUGCCUUAUGGCAGGAGGAGAAUCAGAUUGUGAUUCUCAAGAGGAAUGCCUUCAAAGUAAAAUCAAUGAAGGCAUGUGGUACUUGGAUAGUGGAUGUUCAAGACAUAUGACGGGAGAUAAAGCAAAACUCUUUACAUUAGAAUCAAAUGAUGGAGGAUAUGUCACAUAUGGAGAUAAUGCAAAGGGAAAGAUUAUUGCCAUUGGAUCCAUAUAUAAGAACUCUAUUACUUUAGAAAAAGUUGUAUUUGUUUCUGGUUUAAAACAUAACUUAAUAUCAAUUAGUCAAUUAUGUGAUAAA